UGAAUCCCUCUCCUGCGAAAAUGAGAAACUCUAAAGAAUUCACAUUGGAUUUUUCUGUCAAGACUAGAUGAUUGAGCAGCUAAUAAGCUACUGACAUCCAGUGGGUGAGUUCAACAACUGAAUGGAGAAGACAGAGGAAAGAACCAGUGAACAUGAAGAUAAGACAAAGUUACCCAAUCUGAACCACAAAGAGAAAAUAAACUGAAAAAAAGAAUGAACUGGUCCUCAGGAACCAGUGGAACUAUAACGAAAGAUAUCCAUUUAUGUAAUCAGAGCCCCAAAAGAAGAGAAAGAGUGAGAUGGAAAAAGUAUUCAAAGAAAUGAUGGCUGAAAUUUUUCAAAUUUGUCAAAAUACAUAAACCUAUAGAGUCAAGAAGCUGGACAAAUCACAAAUAGGAGAGACCCAAAGAAAUCACUCCAAGGUACAUCAUACUUCUUAAAACUAAAAGAAAAAAAUCUUGAAAGCAAUGACAGAAAUAACACCUAUAGGGGAAUUUUUUUUAAUGACAUCAGAUUUCUCAUGAAAAACCAUGGAUUUCAAAAGAAAGUGGCAUGUUUUCCAAGUACUCAAGGGAAAGAACUAUCAAUCCCAAAUUCUACAUCUAGUGAAAUUAUCCUUCAAAAAUGAAGGGAAACUACAGAAAACUUAGAAGAACUAAGAAUUUGUCACCACUAGACCUACUCUAAAAAUUGCUAAAGAAUGUUCUUAAAAUAUAAAGAAGAUGAUAAAAGAUGAAAACUUAGAAUAUCAGGAAGAAUUAAAACAUAACAAAUAGUGAAAAUGUUGGCAAAUUCUUUCUAGUUUUUAAAAUUAUGUUUGACAGUUGAAGCUCAAAAUACAACAUUGUCUGAUGUUCUCAGUGUAUAUAGGAGAAACAUUUAAGACAAUUAUAAAUAGGGGAGAGUAAAGGAGUUAAAGGGAGGUAAGGUUUUUAUACUUGAACUAGCAAAAUAUUAAAACCAGUAGACUGUAGGGGCACUUGGGUGCCUCAGUGGUUGAGCAUCUGCCUUUGGCUCAGGUCCUGGUCCCAAGGUCUGGGAUCGAGUCCCAUAUCAGGCUCUUUUCAGGGAGCCUGGUUCUCCCUCUGCCUAUGUUUUUGCCUCUCUCUCUCUCUGUGUCUCUCAUGAAUAAAAACAUUGUUUUAAAUGAGGGAAUCCCACCACAACUACAUAUUAUAUGAUCAUAUUCAUGUGAAAUCUGUGAAUGGACAAUCUAUGGAGACUAUCUAAAAAUGUUUUUUAUAGAAGAAGCCACAGGGAAAAAUGUCAAUUGUAUUUUUAUAUGCUAGCAAUGAAUAAUUGGAUAUUGAAAUUUAAAAUAUAAUUUCACUAAUAACAAAUAUGAACUACUUAGGAAUAAACUUACAAAGGAUAUGAAAGAUCUGCUGAGAAAAAGAAAACCUUAUAAAUGGAAAGAUAUACCUUCUUUAUGGUUAAAAGACUCAUUAUUGUUAAGGUGUCAAUUUUUUCCAAACUUAUCUAUAGAGUCAGUGCAAUACCAAUCAAAAUCCCAGCAAGCUUUUUGGAAAACGUUGACUUACCAAUUCUAAAAUUCACAGAAAUAGAACCAUCAAAACAACUCAGAAAAAGAAAAAACAAUGUUGGAAGGCUAAUAAUAUGUAAAAUCACAACAGUUAUUAUAAAGGUACAAUAAAACAGUUGGUUUUAUCAUAAAGCUAAGAACACAUAUAUCAAAGGAAUAGAGGAAUCCUUGCUCUUCAAAU
Molecule: long non-coding RNA, 1724 nt
Filed under: Canis lupus familiaris (dog)
Lineage: Eukaryota; Metazoa; Chordata; Mammalia; Carnivora; Canidae
Description: lncRNA (ENSCAFG00000054729.1, ENSCAFG00805008616.1, ENSCAFG00845009675.1)
Source: RNAcentral